UACAGGUGUUGCAUGGCUGUCGUCAGCUCGUGUCGUGAGAUGUUCGGUUAAGUCCGCUAACGAGCGCAACCCUCGUCGUAUGUUAUAUGUGUCAUACGAGACUGCCGGUAAGAAGCCGGAGGAAGGUGAGGAUGAUGUCAAGUCAGCAUGACCUUUAUAUCCAGGGCUACACACACGCUACAAUGGUCUGUACAAUGGGUAGCCAAGCCGCGAGGCGGAGCCAAUCCUGAAAGCAGGCCUCAGUUCAGAUUGCAGUCUGCAACUCGACUGCAUGAAGCCGGAGUUGCUAGUAACCGCAGGUCAGCAAUACUGCGGUGAAUACGUUCCCGGGUCUU
Molecule: ribosomal RNA, 335 nt
Filed under: uncultured Anaerolineaceae bacterium
Lineage: Bacteria; Bacillati; Chloroflexota; Anaerolineae; Anaerolineales; Anaerolineaceae
Description: bacterial SSU rRNA
Rfam family: Bacterial small subunit ribosomal RNA
Source: RNAcentral